GAUGAACGCUGGCGGCGUGCCUAAUACAUGCAAGUCGAGCGAACAGACGAGGAGCUUGCUCCUUUGACGUUAGCGGCGGACGUGUGAGUAACACGUAGAUAACCUACCUAUAAGACUGGUAUAACUUCGGGAAACCGGCGCUUAUACCGGAUAAUAUUUCGAACCGCAUGGUUCGUUAGUGAAAGAUGGCUUUGCUGUCACUUAUAGAUGGACCUCCGCCGUAUUAGCUAGUUGUGCAGGUAACGGCUUACCAAGGCAACGAUACGUAACCGACCGGAGAGAGUGGUCGCCCACACUAGAAGGGAAACGCGGACCAGAGUACUAAGGGAGGGAGCAGAAGGGAAUCUGAGGCAGUGGUGGGAAGCCUUACGGAACAAGGGCGAGCGAGUGACGAAGGCGUUGGGUUCGUAAUACUGGGCUAUGAGGGAAGAACAACCGUGUAAGGAGAUGAACCGGUCUUGACGGUACCUGAUCAAAAAGCCACGGCUAACUACGUG
This 497-nucleotide ribosomal RNA is filed under the name uncultured bacterium. Its description in RNAcentral is "partial 16S ribosomal RNA". It matches the Rfam family "Bacterial small subunit ribosomal RNA", at positions 28 to 507 of the family's 1533-position model. The record is from RNAcentral.